RNA transcript from Grus americana (Whooping crane), 3964 nucleotides. It is a transcript of the gene named centrosomal protein 63, with no coding region annotated. The record is from RefSeq and is a predicted model, not a curated record. NCBI's taxonomy places the organism in Eukaryota, Metazoa, Chordata, Aves, Gruiformes, Gruidae. The transcript has 20 exons.
GCGGGGCGCAGCCCCUGAGGGCCCGGCGGGAUCCCUCUGCCCCCUCCCCCCCCGCCCCCCGGUAAAGCCUGGGGGCACAAAGCCGGCUCUGCCGCGGGAGCGUGCUCCAAAACCACACAAAACCACCAUUUUUUUUUUGGUCGCUUCUACAGCCCCGUUUAUAAAUCUCUGCGUUGAGAACCCCACCACGCUGUCUCUGGUCUCCACAGAAGGUGCUGAGGAACUCUGAGCAAGUUCUGCCAAUGGUGUGAAGGAAUCGGUCCAACAGUGAAACAUGCAAGAUGAACAGAAGGCUUUUACCUAUCGUGAAAGACGUUUGAGAGUCAGAGAUAAAAUGAGAUAAAAGAAAUCAAGAGGGCCUUGCCUUUCUUCUCAGCACAAAAAGAGGAUGCGUACCGGCCAACGUACCCAGGAUGUCAGCACUGGAAAUGCUGUCCAUCGCCACCAUCAAAUCCUGAGGUGAGAAAUCCCCCCUCUUUCUCCCCGCUGAACUCAGGUGUGGCUGUGCUCUAUCAACAGCAGAAGUCAGAAACCCCUACCAGGUGCCACACAGAGCUGCUCACGACACAUUGGGUGGAGAAGUAGCCUUGUUCGUGUAUUGCCAUGGGUGACUGCUGCUUUUGGGUACUUUCCUAGCUGCUAAAGCCACCAGGAUUUGACGAUGGAGGCUUUGCUGGAAGGAAUGCAAAGAAACGGGCAGGGGAGCGGUGGGUUCUUGACUUCCUGUGAGGCUGAGCUGCAGGAGCUGAUGAAGCAGAUUGACAUUAUGGUGGCUCACAAGAAAUCUGAAUGGGAAGGACAGACACAGGCUCUGGAAGCUUGCCUGAGUGUUCGAGAGCAGGAACUUUCCUCUGCCAGGGCUGCUCUGCAGGAAAAACAUAAGGAGGUUGGCAUGUUGCGUCGUCAGGUAGAAGACACGGAAAAAGCUAAGCAGGACAUGGUUAGAGAAUACGAACAACAGCUGAAGAAAUUUCAAGAGGAGUUGUCCAGGCUGAGGAGGAGCUAUGAGAAGCUGCAGAAGAAACAACGAAGAGAAACUAGAGAAGAAGCUAACAAGAGACAAGGGGAGGACCAGUUUGAAAUGAGCCGACUGACCAGGAAGCUGGAGGAGUUUCGUCAAAAAUCACUUGACUGGGAGAAGCAGCGCUUGCUUUACCAGCAGCAGGUGGCAUCGCUGGAAGCACAGAGGAAGGCUUUGGCUGAGCAGUCUGAGCUCAUUCAGCAGACUCAGCUUGCCAAUCGGAAACAGAUUCUGGAGUCAGUGGAGCUGGCUAGCAGAUCGGAAAUCCAGCACUUAACCAGCAAGCUGGAGAGGGCCAAUGAUGCUAUCUGUGCCAACGAGUUGGAGGUGGAGAGACUUAACAUGAGAGUGGACGACCUGACUGAAAACAAUCGGAUGAUUCUGGAAGAUCAGCAAAGAGUUCAAGAAGAAUUAAGGCAAUCCAAGAAAAUGUUGGAGGUGCUACAGGAUGAGAAGAUGGAACUUAGAGCCACAUUGCAGUCUCAGGAAGAUUUCAUUGACAGCACCAAGCUGCACCACGAACAGUUACAGAAAGAGCUGGCCAGGGUGACUGAAACUCUUCGCACAAAAGAACUCCUCAUCAGGGCCUUGGAGGAACGCUUGCAAGAGAAAGAAUUGUCUUCUCCGGGGCUGGAGCACAUUCUGCUGCAGCUGGAUGUUGCCCAGAAGAAGGAACAGCACUUACAGUCAGAAGUGACUCAUCUUGAGAACAGCCUGGUGUCUUCAAAUGCAAGGUGUGUACAGCUGAGCGAAGAACUGGAUGAGAAUAUCAAAGAGCUGCAGUCGAUGGAAGAACACCAUACCGAGUUAAAGGCGGAGAUUAAAAAGCUGAAAGAGCAGCUCUCUCGAGCUGAACAAACUCACAACAGUGAGCUAGAAGGGAUGAAAAGGGAAAUCUCCAGGUUGACACAAGAGUUACACCAGCGGGACAUCACAAUCGCGUCUGCAAGUGGCUCCACAUCAGACCUAGAACAACAGCUGAGAACAGAGAUUGAAAGAGCAGAGAGGAAAGCGGUGGAGCACAGGGUAAUUCUGGUCCAGCUGGAAACCUUGAGGCUGGAAAACCGUCAUCUCUCAGAGAUGCUGGAAAAAACGGAGUGCGGUAUGCUAGAGGGAAAAGGUGUCAGCCUAAGAGCACUCACUGAAGACUAUGCCGUUGAACUAAAUAAAUUAAAAUCUGAGAACCAGCAAUUGCGGAAGGAUCUAGCGGAGGCCAGAGCAAAACUGGAGCUCACUCAGCAGGUCUGCCAGGAUGAACCCGAGGGCACUGCUCAGCAGAUGCAGGAUGAAGAGCCCGAGGCUGGGGAUGUGCAGUACAGGACAACUGGGGAAGCACAGCACAAAUGUGAUGAACAAGCAGAGAGAAGACAUCACAAGCCUGGUGGGACUAUUCAGCAUCAUCAAGGGGAGCCCCAGAGAUGGGGGGCUGCUGAAAUAGGAGCUGUGACCCCUGAGAUGGGUGAGCUGCCCACCCAGACCAGCAGGAAGAACUGCACGGAGUCACUUGCUUUGGGCACCUUGCUGGGAACGGAUUCUUUACUCCAUGAGCUGGAUGAAAACAAAGAUUUUGCAGAUGAAGCAUCUAAGCAGUCUGUCUCAAAUGAUCAGAGAGAAUCUGUGCCUCUGUGCCCCCUGCCUACAGCUUCAGUUGGAUCGAUAGCUGCAAGAUACCUGGAAGAGGAAGAACUGAGAUCCCAUCACAUCCUGGAGUGCCUAAAUGCUCACAUUGAGGAACUGAAAAUAGAGAGUGAAAAGAUAGUGAGACAAUUUGGACACCAGGACUAAUGUUUCUUACUGAAUUUGAAUGCUGGUUCCAAACUGCCACCAAGGAGGUACCUAUAAACCAGUUGCCAUUGGAGCUUGGGUGGGAGGCUGGAUGUCCCCGCUUGGAGCUGAAUGGAUGGAUAUUGUGGAAAGGAAACUCCUCUCUAAUGUGUUUGAUUUGAUGGAGGGUAUUACACCACAAACACUUCAGUCGGCUUGCUGUAGGUCAGAAAGCUGCAUCAGAGUUCUACAGAAUAGCUGAGGAAUGAAUGGCUGAAUUCUGAUUGUGGCCACAGCCCCUAAAAAGAAAGGAGAGUAGUGGGAACUGGAGAUGAAAUUGAACGGGAGGAGAACCACCAAACAAGGGAGGUCCAUCUGUACGGCAGACGGAGUUGCAACUGCUGUGUAAGCUGGAUCAGCCUGCUUUGAAUCUAGGCAGUCUCGGACACUGUCCGGUCAAGUUGAACUGCUGCAUUAAAAUACAUCUGUGACCUGUUUUGAGGAAUGUAUUCAGUAUUUCCUCCAGGAAGGUAAGCUGUUGGUGAGUGAACAGAAUCUGUUUCCUACAGAUUUGCUUUUUUUCCAGGAGUAGUCUGCAGUUCUUCUGUGGCUGAGCCUUCCCAGCCUUUGUACAGGCAAACCUAGGGACGGAGACAUCCCUUGUCCAUGUGUGUUACGUUUUCUGUUCCUUUCCAUCAGCUUCACCUUGUCUUAGAGCAGGUGUUGAGAAAUAGGAAUUCCAAAGCAACAUAAGCAUUCAAAACCCAACCAUCGGACUAGGCAGAUGAGUUCAGCAAAGGGGAUGCCUGUCUGCAGGCUGCAGCCUCUUCCUCGUGCCAUAAAAUGGGACCGCACUUGGUCAAGCAGUUCUGCAUUCCGGAGUUCAAAAAAACAUUUGCAUCAACAAGUCCUUUCAUUUUGGCUUUCUUCUGGAGUUCUCUGAACGAGGAUAAAACCUUGGAUUCUCAUUGUGCAGUCUGUGUGAUGAGGUGUUGAACCGCCCGCAGCUGGGGAUAAGCUCCGGUCGUGCUUUUUGCUCACAGUCAGCAUUGGCCUCUGUUCCUGGUCGGAGCUCUCCACAGGAUUUUCUGCUGCUUUGAACUUUUUUGAGCCCUUGGUCUUGCAAAAGCCUGCAAGUGGUGUCCUGCCUCCGUUGAAAGAACAGAUUUGAUCGAGAGA